RNAcentral lists this ribosomal RNA (2525 nucleotides) under Metschnikowia sp. EBDM2Y3. RNAcentral describes it as "large subunit ribosomal RNA". It matches the Rfam family "Bacterial large subunit ribosomal RNA". The record is from RNAcentral. Lineage: Eukaryota; Fungi; Ascomycota; Pichiomycetes; Serinales; Metschnikowiaceae.
AGGUGAUAUAUUGAAAAAUGGUAUAUGUAAUUAAUAUUAUUUUAAGAAUUUCGAAUCAAAAUUUAAAAAAUGAUAAAAAGAUAAAUAUCUAAGGAUAAAAUCAAUCAUAAUCAUGAAAAUGAUAAAAAAUAAAACAAGUGGAAUGAAACAUCUGAGUAACUUGAAUAAAAACCAACAGGGAUUAUAUAAGUAACGGUGAGUGAAAAUAUAAAAAUCUUAAAGUAUUGCCAAGAGGUAAGAAGAAAGUAGUUUCCAACUACUAAGAAAAAAGAAUAAAUUUUAGAUUAAAGUACCGCAAGGGAAAGAAAGUAAAUAGAAUAAUAAAGAGCAGUUAUAGUAUAACGUACCUUUUGUAUAAUGGGCCAGUGAGUUAUAUAUUUUAGUGAAAUAUAAAAUUUAUAUAUAAUUAGAUAAAAAUUAAAGUAUAUAGGCCCGAAAGCAAACGAUCUACACAUGUCCAAGUGUAUAUAACACCUAUUUAUAUAUUUAUAUAUAUAGGUAUAUAUAUGACUCAAUAGGUAAUUGUAGCAAUAAUUUCUAAAGAGAUGUGUGUAGCUGUGACAGACAAAUCUGGUUUGCAGAUAGCUGGUUUUCUGCGAAAUAUAUUUUAGUAUAGCCUUUAUAUUUAUUUAAACUGGUACAGCACUUAAAUACCUUUGGGGAAUUAGAAUAUAAUUUUAUCAAAAUAUUUAAACCUCGGAAUCAGUUAAUAAUAAUAAAAUCCUUAGGGAUGAUUAAAAGAUAUAAGGAGUCAGACUUAUUGCGAUAAGGUAGUAGGUCGAGAAGGAAACAACCUAGACUAUUAAAUGAAUGUCCCAAAUAUUAAUUAAGUGAACAAAAUCUAUCCUACUUUUAUAUUUUUAUAUAAAAGUUAUUAUUCUAUAUUUUUAUAUAGAAUUUUAUAUUAAAUUAUAGACAAUUAGUAAGUGGGUUUGACAAUAAUCAACUUUUAAUGAACAUGUAACAAUGCACUAAUUUUAUUUAUAUAUUUUUAUUAAUAGCCCGCAACUUGUUGCGGGCGAGAUAUAUAUAUUAAUAAUAGAGAAAAUAUAUCGGGUCUAAAUUAAUAACAGUAUUAUAGAUAUAAGUUAAUAAAACUUAUAUGGUAGCAGAAUAUAUAAUAAAAAAUUAUAAAGAGAUUGCUGGCUUGAGUAACGAUAGAUAAUAUAAGAUUAUCCCCUUAUUCAUAAGGUUUUACUAUAAACGAACGGUCCCUAAGAUUAAUAUAGAAGUAUAUAAUUAAUGGGUGAAAGAACAAGAAAAUAAAAAUGAACCGUACUGUAGACCGACACAGGUAUGAUUAAAAGGGAAUGGGAUAACUACUUUGAAUGAACUCGGCAAAAUAAAUCGUGCGACUGUUUACCAAAAACAUAGCUUAUUGCAUACUAGUAAUAGUAAGUAUAAUAAGUGAUAUCUGCCCGGUGUUUGUUUAAUAAAUAUUAUUAUUUAAUAGAUAAUUUUAUAAAAGACAGAUAAACGGCGGUCUUAUUGUGAGGAUCCGAAGGUAGCGAAAUUCAUUGACGUAUAAUUGACGUCCUGCAUGAAUGAAUAUACGAUGCGAUAACUGUAUCCAAAGUAGACUCAGUGAAAUAGCAAUUGCGGUGAAGAUGCCGUAUAUCCGUAGGUUGACAAAAAGACCCUAUGCAGCUUUACUAUAUCUUUAUUUUGAUUUUAAAACUCAUUUAUUUGAGUUUUACCUUUUUUUAUUUAUUUCAGUAGAUUAGGUUAUAUUUAUAUUUUAAAUCAAAUGAGAUACCUAUAUAAUUGAAAAAAGAAUCUAAUUAAUAUAGUCUAUUAGUUAUACUAAUGACUUAAGUUAUUUUAACUUAUUUAAGAAAGAGUAAAGAGGUUAGUUUCGAUGGGGCGUCGACAUCAGCGAAAGCAUCUGAUGUGUCUAAUAACUAAGAUCUUGUUUUUCAAGACUAAAUGUUUAAUUAAAUUAUUUAUUUAAUAGUAAAUUACGUACAAUAUUUCUAUAUGGUAAAUAGAAUAUAUAUGAAUCUUUUUAUUCAUAUUAAUUAUAAGUAAGGAUAACAACAUAAUUGUGCGAUGAUAAUAACACUAACAAGUGGAAUUAGUACUUACGUAGAGUGUAGUGAACAGGCAUAAACAAAUGGUAUGGAUGUCGAUAACGGAUUAACCGCGUGAGAGUUGAUAUCGUCAGCGGUGUUUGCCACCUCGAUGUCGUCUAGACUCGUCCUCCUGGUCGCAGCAACUAGGUAGGGUAGGACUGUUCGUCCUCUAAGGAGUUACUUGAGAUGGGUUAAUUACGACGUGAGUCAGUAAUGAUUUUAUCAUCUAUGGAUUUUUUACUUAUCUGUUGCCUUAAGUGUACGCAAGGAUAAUAAGGUACAUUCCUAUGGUUAAUAAUUAAUUAGCUAAGAAUGUUGUGUUUACAUAUUGAAUGCAUAUCAAAUAUUAAAUCCUUCAGAUAAGUUUAUACAUUAUAGACUAUAAUGUAUUAGUAUAUUUGUAUUUAUUAAAAAAUAUGCAAAUUAACUAAAUAAUAAUAAAAACAUAUACCU